CCCAGUCCUCUGCGCCCCUUUUAUAUAGAAGCUUUUUCGCCCCGCCCGUGCGCAUGCGUAACGGAGUUCCCUUUGCGGGGCGCCGGGAGUCGUAGUUCUUAUCUUUCGGGCCCGCCGCCCUCGCGCGCCGUGCGACGUAGCCAAUCCCAGGACGCGUAGGGGGCGUCUCCCUGGCCGCCACCUUCCAUCGCUUAGACCUCGCUAAAGAAACGCGAGCGGCCAUUGGUGAAAAAUCACACGACUCGCUGAGGAAGGACGGCCAAUCGCAGAGAAGAUGGGGCGGGUUCUGGACCGUACCAUUCUGUUUCAGGAAUACGAGAAGAUUCGAUGGCCUAUGAGAGUCCUCACAGAAUAUUUUUAUGAAAAGGUGCGUUAUAAAGGCUAUUAUCGUAUUUUGUUCUCAGCGGAGGGGUUCCGAAGGUUAUGAACCUUUAUUAACUAACGCAAGAAUGGUUUAUUCCUAAAAAGUAGUCCCUAAAAUGUAAAAGAAUUAAAUCCUAUAAAGAGAGACGUCGGCCCACGGCUGCUAACUCGCGAGUCUUAAGAUUAUAGAAAUGGCUUCAAGGCGGGUGGUGAGUGCCUGAGACUGACACUUGCGGAAGGAUAUCGCGAGCACAUUUUGUAAAGACCGAAGAGCGCAUGAAGAAGUAAACAAAUGAAGAAUAAAAAGUGCCGCCUUAAAGGGACAGUGUGACUGCGUUUAGCGCCGCAGGCUCGCACUAGGCCUCGGAAGACGAAGAGGCGGGUUCGAGUCCCGGUGACGCGACUCCCGGACUGACCUCGGUACCCUUAGCUGAAGGUGGCGGAGUCCCAGCCCCAGCCUGGUCUCAGAAAGCCGCCCCCGCCCCAGGGGCAAAUGCAAACUGGUGAUUCGCGACCAAGGCUCUUCCCUGGGCCGAGAUCGGAAAGCCGGGGCCGGGGGCGGGCGGGGGAGUGGAGGGGGAAGCGGGGGAAGGCCACGCCCCCACGCCUCAGCUUCUGUCGAAGAAAAUGGCCUCCUGGGGCCGAUUUGGUCUUUUCACUUCCGACCGAGAUCAUUUCCUGAGCCGGGACAGAGGAGGUCCGGGACAGCCAUGAGGCUGUUUGUUGGGAAGAGUUCGGAAUGAUUAAUGAGUUGAAAUCAUCAGCCCUGGCUAUCCGAGAGGGAAGCAGGUCUCACCCGCAGAGGCCCUUCCUCAUCAGUGGGCGCUGGGCAAGACUGGGAGGGAAGCAUGGAGGAGGCCUUGCUCCGAAACUUGCUGCAGGGGAUUCUGGCGCAGGGCUGGGGGGGCCGAUUCCCCCGGGGGCGUAGUUUCUCAGAGAGAAAUUCUCUAGACCCAAGCCCCCAGCCCUCCAUAAACAGGGACUGAGAGGACCCAGAGAACCCUCCAUACCAGUCACUGAGGCCUAAAAUCUUGGCGCCCUUUCCACUUCUCCUUCGCCACACACCCAGUGACCCUUUCUUCUUAUUGCUUCCUUAAUAGCAUCCCUGACAUUCCAGCACGUUUGCACUGUGUACCUUUUACGCACAGAGCCAUGUGACCUCACCACAGCCUGGCAAGUUAGACACGAUAGGAAUGAGUGUCUCCAUUUUACAGAUAAGGCAUCUCUAAGACACUGGAAAAUAAGUGACUUGUCCAAGGUCACAUGACAACCAUGGGGCAGUUCUGGCUAGAGCGCUGGUCUUUGUGACCCCCCCCGUGCCAUUUUUCUUUCUGUCACAAACACAAAACCCAUUUUUUCUUAAAAUCGGGGAAUACUCUGGA
Long non-coding RNA from Homo sapiens (human), 1745 nucleotides. The record is from Ensembl. Lineage: Eukaryota; Metazoa; Chordata; Mammalia; Primates; Hominidae.